Molecule: non-coding RNA, 322 nt
Organism: Ictidomys tridecemlineatus (thirteen-lined ground squirrel)
Lineage: Eukaryota; Metazoa; Chordata; Mammalia; Rodentia; Sciuridae
Source: RefSeq, a predicted model, not a curated record
AUAGAGGCAUUAAAUGGAACGGAUAAUGGAGUUGGAAUAAAUAUGAAAUAAAGCUGACAGCUUGUGUGGAAAGAGAAGCAUCUCAGUGCUCUAAUAGAAAUGCCUGGACUGAAGGCGGUUAUUCAUAUACCAAAGUAACAUCACUACCACAAGGAAGAGGAAGGUCAUGCAUUUCAAGAGGAUGAGAAGCAAGGCACCCUGAGCUACAGCUGUGAAGCUUUUCAGGAUAAGGGUCGAGGAUAUGUUUGUGACUAAAAGACCACUGGAACAUAGCUUCCUUUUAAUGUAGCUACGAGAAAGACUAAGCAUCUUGCCUGAUUGC